GAAAAAAGGGUCCAGAAGCAGAGCUUCCUCUUCGCCCUCCCCUCCCGACGGCGUCGCCGAAACCCUCUCCGCCGAACACCCCCGCUGCUCCAGCCCUUCUUCCGCCGAAGCACGGGAACCUCGAAGGAUACGACAUGGCUUCGCAUGCCUACCCUUCCAAGAGACCAUUCCAGAAGAAGUAUUCAGAACACAAUGGUCGGGCCAAGUGGCAAAAGACAAAACAUGCUCCUUCGCAGCAGCCUCAGCUGACAAUACAGCCUGGAGUUCCUCUUAUCCGCAUUCUCUGCCCUACUGAGAAAUGUGGGAAUGUCAUUGGUAAAGGUGGUAGCAUCAUUGCAAAGAUAAGGCAAGAAAACGGAGUGAAAAUCCGGGUUGAUGAAGCAGUCCCUGGUUGCGAUGAGAGAGUUAUUGUCAUAACUACCGCUGAGAAGGACAAAGAAGCUAGCCACGAGCAAGGUAAAGAGAAUGAUGGUGGUACUGCUGUUUCUGCUGAUGGCGAGCAUGAGAAGGAGAAAGACCACAGUAAGGAAGAAAAAGAUGAUUCAGAUAAUGCCCACGGCAAGGAAGAACAAGAUGAUGCAGAGAGAGAUGACAGCAAGGAAGAAAAUGAUGAUUCCUCUGUUGCGAAAACUACAAAGUUGGAGCCAGAGAGGGUAAUACCAUCAGCAAUGAACGCCGUUUUGCAUGUCUUUGAUAGGAUUUUUAUAACUGAAAGUGAAAAUGGAACUGGAGAUGCAUCAGGCCAGAAAACUCCUGUUUCUUUCAGAUUGUUGGUGCUAGAUAGCCAAGUAGGUUCGCUUUUGGGAAUUCGAGGUAGUGUGAUUAAGCAAAUGUCCGCUGAUAGUGGCUGUGAAAUCCGAGUUUCAAAGGAGAAUCUCCCUUUAUGUGCUUUACUCAAAGAUGAACUUUGUCAGAUUAAUGGAGAGCUUGACUCAGUCAGGAAAGGUCUGAAUGCAGUGGCUCAAGUGCUCUUUACUCACCCCCCUAGGGAAAGUGAUGUAGUUCCUGUUGUUCAUCCUUCUGGUUCAUCGUCACGCACCUUCAAUCCCUCAGAUGGUCUUCCUCCAGGAAUGCCACCUAACUUUCAUCUCCCUUUUCAAGGGCCAUCCCAUGCCAGGGGACCUUUUGAUACCAUUGACCAUAGGCCAAAUGUUGCACCUUUCUCAACUUUUCCUGACCAACGCUCAAACAUUCCUCCCUUUUCUGCUUUUCCUGAUGCUCUCAUGCAUGGCAACGCUUCAGUUCCUCCAGAACCUCUCACCUUCAGGCUAUUAUGUUCAAGUGACAAGGUUGGAAGUAUUAUAGGGAAGGGUGGAAACAGUAUCAAGACUAUUCAGAAAGAUACAGGUUGUGAAAUAAAAAUUCUCGAGACUAUUCCAAAGUCAGAUGAUCACAUCAUAAUUAUCUCUGGACCUGCGCAUCCAGGUGAUGGCAUUUCCCCAGCACAGAAUGCAAUUCUGCAUGUGCAGCGUAAAAUUACGCCACCCACCUCUAACAAGGAGGGUCCUGCAAUAUCUAGGCUGAUCGUUUCACCUAACCAAGUUGGCUGCCUCCUUGGCAAAGGUGGCAGUAUCAUAGCUGAAAUGAGGAAGCUGUCAAAAGCUCAUAUAAUAGUGUUGAGCAAAGACAAGAUCCCACGGGGUGUACAAGAAAUUGAUGAAGUUGUUCAGAUAACCGGGGAUUCUGAGGCUAUUCAGGAAGCUCUGAUGCAGAUAACUGCUAGGCUACGUAACAAUCUUUUCCGGGACAGAAUGGCUUCAAUGGGUCCCAGUAUGCAGCCACCUUUUGGUUUGCUGGAUCCUCAGUUUGGUGCAUUUCCGGGAAGCCAUGAAUCUACAUCUCCUAGGAUUUAUCCUAAUGCAUCUCAGUUUCAUAAAGAUUUCAUGGGACGACCAUUGGAUGAGAUGUCUGCUCCUUGGACCACAAAGGGCAUGCAGGAUGUUGGUGAUCCGAUGUCAAUAUCUGGCAUUCCUGGAAUGGCGCACAGAGGAAUGGGUGGAUUUUCUGGUCCUGUUCAUUCAUCUAGGCCAAUCAUAACUGGAAAUAUCAUGGUUCCAAGAUUAGUUAUACCUGCUCUAUGUGGGCAUGAUGGAGGUUGUUUGAAUAUGAUUCGCGAGUUUUCAGGGGCUAAGAUAACAAUCGAUGAACCGCUAGCUGAUUCCAUGGAUACGCCUGUUAUGAUAUCUGGCACACCGGAUCAGAUGCAUGCAGCCCGAAGUCUUGUUCAAGCAUUUGUUCUAAGUGAACCACCUGCCCCAUGAGAUUUCAUAUCUCUGAAGGUGAUGCAUCCCCUUCUAAUAUUUUGAUCCUUCUGGGGAGAUCAUAGGCCCAGGUGAUGCUGUUUGCGUGCUGGGCAAUGAAGCUAGUAACCUUAUGUGUGUUUGAAUUUUUCAUCACUCUGUCUGCAGAGUUGCAUGCGUGAAUGGAUAAUUAUGCUGAACAAAGACUAAAAUUCCAGUGGUGGAACUUCUCUAGGAUCGUUUUAUAAUCUCCCAAAGUUGUGGCACCAGAUAUGGAAAGCAUUAUAGCUGCCUGAAUCUAUCAUUUUAUGCAAGCCGUAGCUUGGGGUUGGAAAGUUUCUAACCUUUUUGUAUGAGAACCCCAUCAUUCGAUGUUGUGAACUUCUAUGAAGGGAAAUAACCUAUUAGUGAUCGUUAUGAAUUUUGGUCUGACAUCUGCAUUAUUAAAGACUGACAUGACCACUAUUCGCUGGACCAAUACCCUAAUACCUAGUAUCAAAUACUGGAAUAGUACCUACACAUAUCAAAUCGUUCCCUAGCGUCCUGUAUUAAUUACUCUUAGCAAAUUCAGGUAGAACAACUAUCCCAGAGGCCUUUGCAGUGACAUAUUUGCAGUAGACAUCAUAAGCUAUAGCAGCAGCAGCUUGAUAUAUUGCACUUGUUGGACCAAAGGGCAGUUGAGUAGUUGCUGGUAGCAUUAUUUUUUUGCCCUAACAUACUGCAUACAACACUGCUCUAAUGAUGGCAAACCUUGCUUGGAUUAAUAUGAUCAAGUCAAUCAUUUAAAUCUUAGGAAUGCAUGUCUUGCUGGUUAUAUGUUGUAUUUUUCUAUAUUAUUUGUGAGGACAUACAUUUUUAUGUAUAUCUGCGAAGUUCGUUAUGUAUCGCGACAUACGGAUAUUACUAGUUCACAUAGUUACCUGCAUUACAAACAUUAUUGGUCUCAU
Molecule: ribosomal RNA, 3187 nt
Filed under: Triticum aestivum (bread wheat)
Lineage: Eukaryota; Viridiplantae; Streptophyta; Magnoliopsida; Poales; Poaceae
Description: partial small subunit ribosomal RNA
Source: RNAcentral